ACGUCAUUUCCCCCUCUGUUGCCCUAGCGCCCCUUGGAAGCCAAGAAUAUGAGGAAGUCUUCUUCCUUCGCGCCUUCUUCUUCCUUACGCUCCAGGGCAGCCUGACAGAGCCGCUCGAAGGCUCUGCUGGCCGCGGCUAGCCGGUUUACCCAUUCCACUGGACCCAGCCACCACCCACUCCUGCUGUCUGGGUGCAGCAGAAGUCUCAGGUAGCUGAGAAGUUCAUGGAAUCUUCUUAUUUGCUACACCUUUCACUACUGCUUGUGAUAUAGUGCAGGGUUGGGAUGUGCAGACAUUUCUCAAGUGCACUGUGUACCUACACAGCAUGCUGCAAUUUGGCUACUGAAGUCAAGAGAAACUGGUUUGAACAACUACUGAGUGUAACAUAGGAAGCGCAUUUCAUUUGAUAACAGGAACACAGCUUUUGUGCUAAUAAAAUGCUUUGAAAAUUAGUGUGUGGUCUUUAGUAAUUAGCAUAUACAUUUUAGUUAUCCAUUGGUUCAUAACAAACGGACUAAAUAGGUACCCCACUGAGUCAUUUAUCUAAAUGAAAAGUUUGGUUAAAUUGUAGUUGUAGGCAUUGAUCAAAGCUAAUGGGAAAAAGAGAUUAAGAUGAAAAUCAUGGGAUUAAAUUUUUAAUUAGUUUGCCCCUUGGACCGUUGCUUGGUAUGACAUGGAGAUUGAUUGGCUACUUAUGCCUGCCUGGGAAGAUAUGGCUCUGCUACCAAACCUCUGAACGUAAGAGUGUUUUGCAAAAAAACUGAAUAUUUUAUUCAGUAAUUUUUCACUUUAUUCCUGCUUAACAAGGAAUUGAAAAGGAAGGCAAGGUCUUGGAUCUCAUAGUUCUUGGUAUAGUGAUAGAUAUAAAGUAUGAGAUGGGGGCUUCAGUGGGUUCAUUAAUAAAUAUCUCAAAUUAACAUGUCUAAGUCAAACUCUUCCUUUCCUGCCCCCAAUCUCUUCCUCUCCCAGGGCUCCUUAUGUCAACUAAUGGUGCCAUCAUUAGUGC
Molecule: long non-coding RNA, 1006 nt
Organism: Homo sapiens (human)
Lineage: Eukaryota; Metazoa; Chordata; Mammalia; Primates; Hominidae
Product: long intergenic non-protein coding RNA 2696
Source: Ensembl